CCCCGCCCCACGGCCGCCUUGAUUGACAGCCGCGCCGGCUCCCCGCACUACCAGCCUCCGGGUCCCAGCGCCUCCCGCCCCCGUGACCUCGCGGCGGCAGCCGGGUUGCCGCUCAGCGCCGGAUCGCAGUGCUUCCUCCAGAGACGCGUGGGGUCAGCGAAAGAUUAGUAACUACACCUCGCGGAGUGCUUGUCCCAUCUUUUCGCGUUUGGGCCUCACAACCAGCCCCCCUUGCGUCUCCAUUUCACGGAGGAGGAAACGGGCAGAGAGGGGAAUCAACUUUGUCAAGCCGUCGGUAUUUCCACCCAGACGGCUCUUAAAUGGUCAUUAUCCCACCUCCCCGACAAAGGAACGUCCCCGCAGCUGCAGGCGUUUUAGAAGGUUACUGUGACCCAGGCACGGUGCUCAGAGGGUCAGAUGAGAGCACACCACCCAGAAGCUCGCAGUCUAAUGAGCCAGGAGCAUGGCCAGCGGUGUGUCUUCUGGAGAAACAUUACACAAGUUCAAGGAGACAUAGACAGGAACGUUCACCGGCUCACUGAAAUAGAAAAUUGGAGACAACUCUAAGGAAACGAAUAAAUAAAAUGUGUCUAGUUGGAUGGAAUGCUGAGGAGUGAAAGGAAGUAAAUCAGAUCUACAUGGAUUAUGGACAGCUCUUGAAAACAAUGAUGAAUGAAGAUUGCUGAGUGAUAUUUAUAUUGUAACCUUUUCUGUAAAUAAAAACAACACUGAAGAUU
Lutra lutra (Eurasian river otter) is the source of this 737-nucleotide long non-coding RNA. RefSeq lists it as uncharacterized. The record is from RefSeq and is a predicted model, not a curated record. Lineage: Eukaryota; Metazoa; Chordata; Mammalia; Carnivora; Mustelidae. The transcript is spliced from 2 exons.